RNAcentral lists this ribosomal RNA (497 nucleotides) under uncultured bacterium. Its description in RNAcentral is "partial 16S ribosomal RNA". It matches the Rfam family "Bacterial small subunit ribosomal RNA", at positions 28 to 507 of the family's 1533-position model. The record is from RNAcentral.
GAUGAACGCUGGCGGCGUGCCUAAUACAUGCAAGUCGAGCGAACGGACGAGAAGCUUGCUUCUCUGAUGUUAGCGGCGGACGGGUGAGUAACACGUGGCUAACCUACCUAUAAGACUGGGAUAACUUCGGGAAACCGGAGCUAAUACCGGAUAAUAUUUUGAACCGCAUGAUUCAAAAGUGAAAGACGGUCUUGCUGUCACUUAUAGAUGUAUCCGCGCUGCAUUAGCUAGUUGGUAAGGUAACGGCUUACCAAGGCAACGAUGCAUAGCCGACCUGAGAGGGUGAUCGGCCACACUGGAACUGAGACACGGUCCAGACUCCUACGGGAGGCAGCAGUGGGGAAUAUUCCGCAAUGGGCGAAAGCCUGACGGAGCAACGCCGCGUGAGUGAUGAAGGUCUUCGGAUCGUAAAACUCUGUUAUUAGGGAAGAACAUAUGUGUAAGUAACUGUGCACAUCGUGACGGUACCUAAUCAGAAAGCCACGGCUAACUACGUG